UACGGAGGGUGCGAGCGUUGUCCGGAAUCACUGGGCGUAAAGGGCGCGUAGGCGGCCUGAUAAGUAGGGGGUGAAAUCCUGCGGCUUAACCGCAGGGCUGCCUUCUAAACUGUCAGGCUGGAGCACAGUAGAGGCAGGUGGAAUUCCCGGGUGUAGCGGUGGAAUGCGUAGAGAUCGGGAAGAACAUCAGUGGCGAAGGCGGCCUGCUGGGCUGUUGCUGACGCUGAGGCGCGACAGCGUGGGGAGCAAACAGGG
This 255-nucleotide ribosomal RNA is filed under the name uncultured bacterium. RNAcentral describes it as "partial 16S ribosomal RNA". It matches the Rfam family "Bacterial small subunit ribosomal RNA", at positions 524 to 777 of the family's 1533-position model. The record is from RNAcentral.